Molecule: non-coding RNA, 196 nt
Organism: Oryza nivara
Lineage: Eukaryota; Viridiplantae; Streptophyta; Magnoliopsida; Poales; Poaceae
Source: Rfam
UUUAAGUGCAACUAUAAACUUUCGUGUCCAACUUUGAUCGUUCGUCUUAUUUAAAUCUUUUUAUAAUUAGUAUUUUUGUUGUUAUGAGAUGAUAAAACACGAAUCGUACUUUAUUCGUGACUUGUGUUUUUAAUUUUUUUUUUAAACAAGACAAAUGAUUAAAGCUUAGUGUGAAAAAAAUAUAGCUGCACUUAAA